UAAAAAACUUAUUAGCUUAAAUAGUUUGAUGGUAAAAUGAAAUAUUAAAUAGGAAAAAAAUUUUAGUGGUAAAGUGACAUGUCAACAAAUAUUAGUCGGUAAAAGUUUAAUAUCCUUUAAUUAAAAUACUCCCACCUUUACUGUAUAUAAUAUUUAGUCUGUGAUCUGCUUAGCUGAACUGCUUCCACCUAUGGAAAAUUUUAUGUCAAAUCAGACGGACAUUACCCCUCAGAUGAUAGGCAUUUGCCACUCUUGUCAGGUACACUUAAAAUUUGACCUAAUGGCGGAAACUCUCUAUCUUAUGGUCACGUUAUCAGUGAACUUGCUGAUCUGAUUCUUUGUACUCCUCUACAUGCAGGUGAAAGAUUUAAUAAGCAUCUCAGAGACAUACACAAGAGAUCACAUGCUUCGGAUGGUAUGCAUUCUCAAUGGGUUGAAUUUAUUUUGAUGGAUUGAAUUUCUUUUACCAGAAGGCAAUCGCUGUACUAGACACAAUAAGCAUUGGUGCAAGCAACCUGCUUUUUGCUCUUGCAGCCGCCUGCUUGAAUAUACUCUUUGUUUAACUAUUUAGAAACAUGCUAAAAUACACAUAGUAGUGAUAGUUUUACCAUGUGUCUUCGGUUCUGGUUUCGUUAACAUUAUGAUAAUUAGACUACCUUCUAAUGUUGGCCUUCCUUGAUCCUCAAUAUAUGAACUGGCUUUGUCUUUGCAGGAAAAGCUUAUGCUAAAAAAGCUUAAGUUUCGUCUAAACGUGCCUACUCCAUAUGCUUUUAUAUGUUAAGAUUUUUCAAGGCUGCUCAGUCGGAUACAAAGGUAUGCGGCAACUUUCAGAAUGUCUUACUACUGGAACUAGAAGAAACGGGAGAAUGCUCUAGGUUUGCAUGCUAAGUGAUAUUUGGCCUUUGUGGUAGCUUGAACAUUUGGCGUUCUACCUCAUCGAGUUAAGCUUGGUCCAAUAUGAAGCUUUAAAGUUCAAGCCCUCACUGUUAUGUGCAUCAGCAAUCUAUGUUGCACGGUGUACCUUGCAAAUGAGAUACACUUCAUAUAUUGUUGAUGCUGAAAUCUAGUCAAGCUGAUGAUGGCAACCAGAUUGUCUCGUCAAUGCUUUAAUUUGCUUUUGAUGAAACACAGUCUCUUGCUGCUAUUGUGAGAUUUGAGUUGUAUUGAUACUUUUUUUGAUCUGCAACAACAUAAAACUGUCAGGGGCGCCAGAUUUAAUUAGAGCAGUAGCUUUCUGCCAAUGCAUAUUUGCUAAGCCUAGUUUGACAGUAGUUGUUUGCCAAGGCUUGUAGAAAACUAAAAUGCUCGGAAAACUUUCAAAUUCAAACUGUUGUUGACUCAGAUUCAUCGACUGACAACUUGUCUAUCCUUCUAACAAAAAGCAACGACCAUUCUAUCUAAAGAAGAAAUUCUGGAGCAAGUGCUAUUCCUAGUCCCUCGUACUACACCAGCCAAUCAAAAGAUGCAACCAUAACAGUAGAACGCGACUUCUCCGUUUAACUGAAUACUCUUUGCAUAUGCAAGAUAAAUUGGCCGUUAUGGUUGUUACAAACAGCAGGAAUUUUCUUAUGGGUUCUGUCAAAAGCAGAAAACUUUAAAGUUGCAACAAUACUGGCUGCUGCUGUCUCAAAGAGUGUCAGCCAUAUGAUUUAGCAAGCAAUGGAAGAUUUGAAGCGAGUGAAGUGCCACCACAAAAGGGAUACUCCACAUUCAAAUAUCAGUGAUUGGCAGGCAUGAAGGGGCAAGGGAAGAAAAUAUACAAACUUUAUUUGAACUCAAAAGUCUUUUAACAUUCUGAUAGAGCAAACAAUUUCCACAAGCUCUCAAUGAUAAUUUAAAAAGAAAUUUUAGAACAAAAUUACGAGAUAUAAAUACCUCCAUUUCAUUUAGCAUCAAACAAUCAAAAGUACAUUGGUCUAAUUAAGCAUAAAACAAUCAUAGGUACAUCUGUCUAAAGGUUGACAAAAAUUCAACACAACUAGAAGCAUAACUCAUUCCAAAACGGCAACAUUAAACCGACAUGUUUUAUUGCUACAAGCAAUUCUUGGAAACUGCUACCUAGGUCCAAGUCUUCUCACUUUCUGUAUGUCCCCGUAAAGCUUAACCUGUCAUCAGAAUGAGAAGAAAACAUCAGAGCUGCAUUUACUGAAACUGGAUAAGCUCUGAAUGGACACAUGAUCUUGCUAUUCUAGAUAUUACUGGCCUACAAACCGAACCAGAACAAUUACAGCAGUAAAAGUUUAAAAAGACCCAGCUUUGAAAAUAAUUCCACCAAACAUGAAACACAAAUGACUUAGAUCACUUCAAAAAAUGUUUCAGUCUUUAAACAUUAUUUUAUACAUUCAAUUUCAAGGCUCAUUUGUAGGCCAAAAUAGAUAAACCCAACAGAAAACGCAAAUCUUAUUCAAAUAGCUGUUGAAAUGAAUUACCACUCAAUUAGAUUACCUAAGAUUAAUAUACAUCAAGCCCUUGAACAAAAUAUAAUUCUUGGUGAUCAUGAAUCAGCAAGUUCACAACAAAAAAAUAAAUUCACAUCAUACACUAGUCAAACCUUAAGAUGAUGAAACCAGUGCUUCAGUCUGGGUAUUUGAAACAGCAGCAGCAGCAGCAUUAUCCGCUGAGGGUGGUACAUAGAUACGUGCUUUCUUUAGAAUUUCGGCAACAGCCCAAUGCUUAUGCUUGCUUAACGGUCUAGAAGGAUCCAACCUAACCUGAAGCCACAAACUCAAAACGUAAACCCCAUAACAAUAGUAACUAUCAAUAAAACAGUUGAAAUGAUUGCAUAUCAAAUAGAAUCGGGAAAAAUGACUGAAACAAAUGAAAACACCCAUCAUUACUUAAGAGGCAUAAGAGUACUAACUCGGUCACCGAUGUUGCAUUGAUUGUUCUCGUCGUGGGCCAUGAAUUUGGAGGUUCGUUUGACAUACCGAUUGUAAACCUUGUGGUGAAAGAGUCUGUCAACGGCCACCACUACUGAUUUUUGCAUCUUGUUUGACACUACCAAUCCCACCACCGACUUCAUUUGUGACGGCCUGACGACGAUGCUAGGGUUUAGACCACGAGGAAACAAAAAUCAAAGUUAAAAAUGGAUAAGAGAGUAAAUCAAAAUGGUACCUGAUUACUAUGCUUCAACAGUGAUACUACAGUGACGGCAGAUGCUGACGGAGGUCGACGGCGCACGACAAUAACUUGUGGUGAGGCGGCGGCAGGGGUUCAGGGGGCGGUUAGUGUCUGAGUUGAGUGAAAUUGGAUUUCGUUUAUUGUUGCUUUAAACUCAUCGACUGUGUUUGUGACUGUUAUUCACAGUGAAUCGUCAGUAAUCAUGUGCCAAGUUUAACGUGAGUAAUCCGCAAAUAACUUAAUUGUUUUUCUCUAGGACACAAUUAACAAAAGCAAAGCACCAAAUUCUUUUUCUCUUAGACAGUUCAUCAAACACUUGGUGGGCAUACGUCCAUAAACACAUCCAUUCACAAUAUAAAGUAACAAAAUCUCAGUCAAGGCCUCAUAAUAACUUAAUCAAACAAAAUGCCACAUCUGAAAUUUCAUAAUUAAUUCAAAUUAAAGCAACAAAAUCUCAAAUAGCCCUCUUCAAACUCAUUCUCCAUCAUCUCAUAGGCUAAACUCAUUAAAUAACUACAACAGCCACACAAUAAUAAUUACAACAGCAAACAGUAACAAAUCAACAAUACCAUCAAAGUGAUAAGAGUGAAAAAAAACUAAAACAGAUGAAAAUAGGUGAAAAACCGUACCUAAGGUGAGAAACUUGAAGCUAAAAGGUUGGUACUUGCUAAGAUAGCUCUAGCGAACGGACCUACCGCCGUAGCUCACCGGCUAAAUAAAGCUUACUAUCGGAAGUUCAGAGAGAUUUUAAAUUUCAAGAUGAAAUAUGGUAAACAAAAAGAAUGCGUAAAUCAAAAUAGAAUUUAUUGAAAUAUUGAUUUUGUUUUCAAAUUUAAUAAAGAUAAUUUUGGGUUAGGUAAUAAUUAUAAAAAUAUUUAUUAAAUUGUAUUAAAUAAUAAAAUUAAUUAAAAUAUAAAAUUAUUUUUUAUUUUAAUUUUUUAUUAAAUAUUAAAUUUAAUUUUUAAAUUUUCAAAUCACUUUUAAACUUUUCAAAAACCAUUCAAACGAACUCUAAGAUAGUGUUUACUUUCUGGACUGGGAGUGUGGAGUGUGAAUUCCUCCCACUCCAGUGUUUACUUACUUUAAAAAAAGGGGAGUGGGAGUGGAAAUCCAUGGGUCCCACCUAAUUUUGGAGUGGGGAGUGGAUUCCCACUCCCACCUCUCCCCAUGGGAGUGGGAAUCCCACUCCCCCCUCUUCCCAUUUUAUCCUUAUAAAAAUAAAAUAAAUAAAUAAUAUCAUAUUUAAUAAAAUAAAUAAUAUCAUAUUUAUUAAAAAUAAUAAUUAUAUCAUAUUUAUUUUAUUAAAUUUAAUAAAAUAAAAAUAAAUAAAUAUUAUAUUUAAAUUAAUAAUAUUAAACAUUAAUUUUAAUAAAUAUUAAUUAUUUAUUUAAUAAUAAUAAAUAUUUUAUUCUAAAAAAAUAUUAAUUUUGUACUAUAUUAUCAAUAAUAAUAUUUCAUUUGUGUUGCUAUUAUUAAUAAUUUUUAUUCACAUAAUUUAAAUUAAAAUUAAUAAAAAAUUAUGAUUUACAUAAUUAAGAAUAUUAGUAAUUAUUAUUAAUUUAUAAAUAUAAUAAAAUAUUUAUUUUAUUUUCCAAAUAUAUUUUUUAUUAAUUUUUUAAUUACAAAUUAUAAUUCUGUAUAUAAGGAUAAAAUUGUAAUUUAAAAUAAUUUACUCCCAAUCCAAGACAAAGUAAACAAAUAAUUAGGAUUCUGAUUGACAAUCCAUACUUUUAUUUAGUCUAAGUAAACACCCUACUCUCACUCCCACUCCACACUCCUAAUCCAAGGAUUCCCACUCCUCAGAAUUCCCACUCUAAUCCAAAAAGUAAACGCAGCAUAAAUCCCAUUAUUAAUAGAAUCACAUUAAAGUUAACUCUUGGCCAUGAAAUUAAUUUUGUUUUAACCCCUCACAUGUUAAUUCCGCAGCAGCAAUUAUUAUUAUUAUUUAAAUAAAACUUUAAGAAAAUAAGAACCUUUUUUUGAGGAAAAAUGUAGAAAAAAGUACAUGAAGCCGGGAGAGGAGCAUGGUAAAAUUUCGUUGAUUAUUAGAUAAAACGUUAUAACUAAUUAAAUAUAUAUUUAAUAUAUUAUCAAUUCGAAUUAUUGGUCAAUUGAUCUCUUGUGUGAGUUUGCUUUGCUUCAUUUAAUUUAAUUCCUGAAACGACGUCGUGCAAGCUAAACUCAAUGCGGUCGUCAUUGUGCAUGUGCGGAGGAGGGUAUAAAGGUAAACUCACACAAAUUUGAAAACUAAAACCAAAGAGACAGAGAGAGGGAGAGGCGGUCUCGGCUCUUGAACUUAAAAAGAAUCAACAACACAACAAGCAACGGUAAACACAAAAUUCAAGAUCCUCUCCGCAGAAAUGGCUUCACUUAAGGUGCCCAUUUUUCAUAAAACCUUUUCUUUGCAAUUUCAUGCAUACAUACAUGAAAUUUUGAGUUAUCAAUCGAAUAAGUUUUGCUUGAUUUGAUCAUAUUAUUGUAUGUUUGCAUAAAGAUUUGAAGAAAGAAAAGAAUUAGGGUUUUUGGAAAUUAUAUAGUUGUUGAAGAGAAUCUGUGUCUUCGCAUUUUCUUAGAUUGAUGAUUGAGUGAUGAAUUCUGGUUUUCGUUGAGUAAAUUAAUUGAUAGAGUGAAGAACUCCGGUUUGGUGUGAAAAAAAUAAUAAUAAUAAGUCGGUUUUUGAUUACUUUAUUUAUUUUCAAAUGCUAUUAUUCUGAAUUUUAUUGUAUUCUAUUUUAAUUUUAGGUAACAUGACUUUGAGUAAUGUGAGGGUUCUCAAAAUGAAAGGAAAAAUUAUUACUUUCUCUCUUAUUUGAAUGCUUUUUCUUCUAGAUGUUGGAUCAGAAUCAAGGCUCGGUGUUGAAUCAAGGAAGAAUCAAAGUUGUGGCUGCAAAAGUAUGAAAAAAGCCUUUAACUUUGUGUUUUCUAUUCAUGUUUUCUUUUAUUAGUAUUUAGCACUUUUGCUAGACUUGUGUGUUUUUAAUAAAUUGCAGGGAAAAUUGAAAAUGGGUGUUAAUAGAGUUACUGAAGAUAGUCGCACACGGAGGAAUGGUAAGGGCUUUUGUAGUUUUAUUAAUUGAUUAUUUGGGAAUUCUAGAUUUGCAUGUGCAAUUCAUUUUUCUUCUUUUGCUUUGAGAUAGUGGGAGGCAGAAAUUUUAAGGUCUAUUCUGAAAAUGAAAUGGUGAAAGAAGAUUCCAAUACAAUGUAAGUUUAGAUUUGUGUUGGUUCUUUUAUGAAGUUCUAUUAUAACGUAUGCAUGAGUAAAUGUUCUCUUUCUCCUAUCUAGCAAAAAUCUAGCAUUUUGUUUGAAAACCAAACAGAGGACCAGGCUUUAAUUUCCUAGCAUAUUUGAUAUUGUAGAAAGAAUUCAGUACCAGUUAAAAAUGGAGCUGCUCUGGCCAGUGCGAGCAAUGCAAAGGUUUUUACCUCUCCAUUCCUUUGUUUUUAGUGCUCUUUAAACUUCAUGUGGGUGGGAAUAAAAUUGUUAUGUAAAUAUUUCAAUAUUCAAUACCUUUUUGAAUCUACUGUUGAAGUUGUUUGCGUGAUUUAUUAUGAAGGGGAUAGUGAACAAGAUGGAGAACAACAAAGGCAAGGACGCCAAUACUGGUGAGGUUUAACUGUCGUUUAUUUUGUAACUCAGACAUAAGUAGCAUGUUUUUAAAGCUCUCCUUAUAGUUAAUUGGUCUUUUUCAGCUAGUUCAAAAGUUGGAAGAAAAGCAUUGGUUGAUGUCAGCAAUAUUAAGGGCAACGUUCCAAGGAGUGUAGUGCAUGAUGGCUCUAAAUCAUUGUGGGUGAUUUUCCAUUUUGCCAUUGCUUGCCUCAUCUCAAACUGACUUUCUAAGAUGCUGCUUGUUGCCCAUUAAUCCAUUUAAGGCAUUCGUGAUACUUUAUAUAUUUAAUUCACAAAUAUGUUGGCUCCCUGGUGUACCAUUGAAUCCCGAAGCUGUAGUUCUGAAGUUUCUUGUGUUUUUAAAUGCAGAAAGGGUGAGAGAAGUGCAAUUUUGCAGCAGUAAGUGUUUUUAAAUACAAUUUUGUUAUCUCCAUUUUAAUAAUUAUUUUUUAAAGAGGUUUGUGAAAUGAUAGAGGCCGGAGUUUGACAGUUAUCCAGAUUGUUUUAGAUGGUUUGAUAGGGGAUCAAUUGGACUCUCAAAUGUGUUUUGGGGAAUUAGAACUGUUCAAGAAAAUACAUAUCUGUUCCUCGUGUUUGUUUUGUUUUGUUUUGUUUAAGCAAUUCAUGGUAUCCUUUUGUUGGAUUGUUAUUCAAAAGAAAUCAGUUUGCAUAUCGGCGGAAUUUUAUAUGCUAUUUAUGUGCAUGAUUGUGUUUGUUUGUUUUUGCACAUGUGGUACCAUGUGUUUAUGUUACUGCAAUUUCAUGGUUUCCUAUUUGUCUUCAAUAUGCACCACAAUCAAUGAUUAAACGUUACAAAAGAGGUAAUAGCUUUACAUGAUGAGAAACUUAAAAUAUAUUAUUUACACUUGUUAUGAAUCUAAGUUUGAUGGAGGCGGCUAGCCUCUCUCUCUCUCUCAAAUCUUUAGAUGAAAAGAAAUUUUUUCUCAUCCAAAGUAAAUGGGUAUCAAGAAUUUCAAUCGGGUGAUGAACAAUAUAUAAAAACAAUUAUUAUUCUUCUCUCUUUGUUCAUGUCCUUGUAUUUUUGGUUUUUUCCAGUAAGAUAAUGAGUUUCUGUUAUUAAUCAUGUCAUUUUAAAUUGUUAUCUUUAUAGGGUUUCAGUGGGUUCAGGUGUAAGGACUGUGAAUGUCUCCUCAAGAAAAUCUUUCACGGUAUGCAAAUAAAGACCAAUACAACUAUUAUCAUGUGACCUUUUAGCAUCCUUCUAAAUUCUGUUGCUUUCUUCUGCUGUCUUUGUUCUUCUACCUUGUUAUUGACUAAACAAAUGAAAAAAAAGAAUCAUCCAGUAACAUUUUUCACCGUAGUAUUGCUGUUCCAAAUGCAUGUAGUCACUUUAUUAAAUAGCUACUGAUACCUGGUUUUGUAGUUGAGCGUACCUCUUCCUGAAUCCUUGAAACGUUGAGGGCUCAACACCGUGUAAAUGGAGGGACAUUUAAUUUUCUCAUUACAACUGCUUAAUAUCUAACAUAUGGGAAAAAUGGAUUUCAACCCACUUAAAGUGCUGAUUUUUCAAGGCGGAAAGUAAUGCUUGCACGUAACCUUCAUCUAAGCUAAUGAUCUUUAAACUUCCUAUGGAAGGAUUUUUCUCUUUAGUUCCUUCUCUUUUUCUUGUAUUAACCUGGCUUUUUCUUUCUUUCUUUCUUUUUCUUUUAUUUAUUUAUUUUUUUUAUUUUGUGAGUAGGGAAGAGUGAGGAAGAAUAUAAGUCAAGAUGUUGGUGCUAUCCAUACAUCAAAGAAAGGUAACUUCCAGUUCAGAAAUUUUACUUUUGCUAUUUUCUUGGCUGAGCAUUGCAUUAUAGGUAUUUUUUGUCUUGAAGAUAAUGCAGAUGUCAAAGGUUCAAAGUCAUCCUUAAAUGAUAAACAUACCAAGACCAAAGAUAUGGGCCGUGAAUCUGUUGUCACUGCCAACAGGUAUGAAGUUUGUUAUGUUUGUUCAGUUUAUUGUGCUACCCUCUUGUCUUGUUCUCUCCAUCAUAGCUCUGAAGGUAUUCCUGAUUGUAUUUGCUUUUAUAUAUUAGGAUGUCAAGGAAUCCUCCUGUACCAACAAGGUUUGUUGAUCUGCAAAAUAGUCUCAUUUUUUUUUUUUUUUUGUUUAAAUUACAUUGGGCUGUUGAUGAUUUUUCUACUGUUACAAUUGAAGGAAGUCCUUACCAGUGUUUAAGAGGGUGAACCAGUCUAUUACAAGUACUUCAAAGGUUAUAAUUUUCUCUCUCUACCAAUUGGGAGGAUGGUUUACAUAUAUCUGUCCUAAUUUAACCAAUUUCUUAUCCCUUCUUGAGGACUCUUCAGAUCUUUAGUAACUCCUACUUUAUUUUCUGUUUCUGAAAAACCUAGAAGUAAUAGAUAGCAAAAGAAUAUCGCUUGUGUUUAUUAACAGGAGCCAUAUGUUGGUGCAAUUGCAAUCAUCAGUUGUAGUUCCGUUUUAUUGUUUUUCUAGCUUCAGUAAUACAAGUUCCUUUCAUCUUUUGAGAUCCAGCCAAUUGUGAAGACAGCAAUACUGGCUUCCAAUGCUCGAGGGACUUCAAAAUCCAAGUGUUUGUCAAGUUUGAAGAAAUCAAAAUCUAUUGCUGCAACAUCAACUAAGAAGAAAAAGGAUGUUGUGAGGUCUUCUCCUCUGGAGAAUAUUGCAUCAGUGGUUUCGCAUGAAGCCAUUCAAGGAAAGCCUUCAAUUGAUGGCAACACCAAUUCAAGUACAAAUUCUUCUGAUAUUAUUUCCAAGAAGAAAUCUGAUCGCAGGAGAUCUUAUACAUCCUUAUUGAUGGCUAAAUCAAAGGUAGGUUGGGGCAUGUUCUUAUCUAUUCUAUAAAUGUUGUCCUUCUCAUCUUGUUGAGUUCAAUAUAAUUGGCAUGAUUUUGUAGCUGAUAGAUGAAAAUGGUGAAGUCAAAAUGGAAAAUCUACCCGGUAUUGAUGAUGACUGCAAUCAACUGGAAGUUGCUGAAUAUGUUGAUGAAAUCUAUCAUUAUUAUUGGGUUAUGGAGGUGAUUAUUCACUUUUUUUUUCUCUUCAUUGUUUUGAUGAUUAAUGUGUUGCCUAUGUAUGCCUACUCACUACUUGAUCAGAAUAUAAGAAGCAUUUGAUUACAUUAUUAGCUUUUCUACAAAGAUCUAAAGUAUUUCAAAUGAGAGAAUUCACUAACUAUUUGAUCAGAAUGUAACGAGAAGCAUUUGAUUUCGUUAUUAGCUUUUCUACAAAGAUCUGAAGUAUUUUAAAUGAGAGAAUUAUUUAUCUUGACUAUUUAUAUUGUGUGGGCUUUUAUCAUUCCAUGGAUUAAACUGUCUGCUUCUGCUAUCUUGUAACGUGUAGCUGUUUUUAUUUAGAAUUUGAUAUAUGAAUACUUUUUUUUUUAGUUUACUUAUCUCCUUAUUCUUUAAUUAAAUGGAUAUUAUUAUUUUACUACCUAAAAUUUUUUAACAUAUCACUUUACCUCAAAAUUUUCUGACAAUUGCCUUUUCCCACUUAAUAUUUCAGUUUUUAUCAUUUUACCACUAAAUCAUUAAUUUCAUUAAUAAAUUGCUGAUGUGAUGACAAUAUUUUAUUAAUUUCAGUAUAUUCAGUAUUUUAGAAAUUUCACAAGGUAUAAUAUUUACAAUUUUAUCAGUUAAUUAUUAUAGAUAUUUAAAAUAAUCAAUUGUUAAAAGUACUAUUCUUUUUAUAUAAUAAUUUUUUAUUUUUUUAAUUUAGAGGGUUAAAUUAUACUUACACAGUUUAAGGGUAAAAUAAACAUUUAUUAUAAUUUCUGUUAAAAAAUUUAUUAACUUAAAUGGUUUGGUGGUAAAAUGAAACAUUAAGUAGGAAAAAAACAAUUGUUAGAAAACUUCGAUAGUAAAAUGAUAUGUCAAAAAAUGUUAGGUAAUAAAAUUAUAAUAUACUUUAACCAAAAUACUCCUACCUGUACCUUAUAUAAUAUUUAGUCUGUGAUCUGCUUAGCUGAACUGCUUCCACUGCAGGCACAGAAUCCACCUCUGGAAAAUUAUAUGUCAAGUCAGACGGACAUUACCCCUCAGAUGCGAGGCAUUUUGAUCAACUGGCUAAUUGAAGUAAACAUCCAUCUUUCCAAAUGAAUUUCCUUUUCUCUUUCUUUUUCCUUUUCUAAACUAAGUCCUUUGCCACUGGUCAGGUACACUUGAAAUUUGACCUAAUGCCAGAAACUCUCUAUCUUAUGGUCAUUUUGUUAGACCGUUAUCUCUCUGAAGUUAAAAUCAAGAAGAAUGAAAUGCAGUUAGUUGGUCUUACUUCCCUUCUCCUGGCAUCAAAAUAUGAGGACUUCUGGCAUCCUAGGGUAAAUAUAAACAUGUCAAGUUCACGCAAUGUUUCUUCUAGCACUUCAAUAAGUUAUCAGUGAACUUGCUGAUCUGAUUCUUUGUACUCCUCUACAUGCAGGUGAAAGAUUUAAUAAGCAUCUCAGAGACAUACACAAGAGAUCACAUGCUUCGGAUGGUAUGCAUUCUCAAUGGGUUGAAUUUAUUUUGAUAGAUUGAAUUUCUUUUAGCAGAAGGCAAUCGCUGUACUAGACACAAUAAGUAUUGGUGCAAGCAACCUGCUUUUUGCUCUUGCAGCCGUCUGCUUGAAUAUACUCUUUGUUUAACUAUUUAGAAACAUGCUAAAAUACACAUAGUAGUGAUAGUUUUACCAUGUGUCUUUGGUUCUGGUUUCGUUAACAUUAUGAUAAUUGGACUACCUUCCAAUGUUGGCCUUCCUUGAUCCUCAAUAUAUGAACUGGCUUUGUCUUCACAGGAAAAGCUUAUGCUAAAAAAGCUGAAGUUUCGUCUAAAUG
This 11519-nucleotide long non-coding RNA is filed under the name Citrus x clementina. RNAcentral describes it as "Citrus clementina (C. clementina) long non-coding RNA (CCLE_LNC000639)". Lineage: Eukaryota; Viridiplantae; Streptophyta; Magnoliopsida; Sapindales; Rutaceae. The record is from RNAcentral.